Molecule: long non-coding RNA, 737 nt
Organism: Scylla paramamosain (green mud crab)
Lineage: Eukaryota; Metazoa; Arthropoda; Malacostraca; Decapoda; Portunidae
Exons: 3
Source: RefSeq, a predicted model, not a curated record
GAGACAACUCUGACGUUUAGUCACUAAAUAUACUCGUCCUUAUUUUUACGGAUCUUUUUAAUAUUUACUCAUUUAUCUAUCUAUUAUUUUAUCUUAUUUAUAAUCGUUAUUUUAGUAUUAUCCAUUAAUCUGUUUAUUUAUUUAUAAUUUUCUUUUUAGAUGAGCACCAAGGUGAUGAGAUGCAGUGCAGCCAAAUAGUCUUCCCCUUUACGUUACUGUAUUCAGCUUUAGCGCAUUACUGUUUAUGAUAGCCAUAAUGGCUAGACUCACGAAUUAAUAUGAAUACGAGUCAUCAUCAUCUUCUCAAUGGUAAAGGAUGAGAUGUUAAACGGUUACAUCAGACACCGCACUGCACUGCCUGCAUGUCAUCUCAGGGUGACUUUGCAGGGCAUACAACGUGAAGGAGACACUAAAGCCCAUUUGCUUCCUCAUGGCAAAAGACAUACACAAUUCCACCUCAGCUGAAGGGAUGACGUACGCCACCACAAAGAGUUCAAUAGUGUCAGCAGCCAGACCCAAACCCACGAUCAACAGAAGCAGCCGCUGGAAGGCCCCUGUGCCAGCCUGAGGGGCGAAGGGUUUCUUAUAAACACACAACUCAUUCUGAUGAUGGAAAGACGAACUCUGGCGCCUCACCUGCUGAAUGGCAUCUUCGUGGAACUGUGAGAGGAGCGGGGCGUCGCUCUCUACAUAAUCAAGCUCGUCACUCGCCUCUACAUUAUCUCGACCAGCGCCAG